UACGAAGGGGGCUAGCGUUGCUCGGAAUGACUGGGCGUAAAGGGCGCGUAGGCGGAGAUAUCAGUCAGAUGUGAAAUUCCUGGGCUUAACCUGGGGGCUGCAUUUGAGACGGUAUUUCUAGAGUGUGAAAGAGGGUCGUGGAAUUCCCAGUGUAGAGGUGAAAUUCGUAGAUAUUGGGAAGAACACCGGUGGCGAAGGCGGCGACCUGGUUCAUAACUGACGCUGAGGCGCGAAAGCGUGGGGAGCAAACAG
RNAcentral lists this ribosomal RNA (252 nucleotides) under uncultured bacterium. RNAcentral's name for it is "partial 16S ribosomal RNA". It matches the Rfam family "Bacterial small subunit ribosomal RNA", at positions 524 to 775 of the family's 1533-position model. The record is from RNAcentral.